Gadus morhua (Atlantic cod) is the source of this 645-nucleotide long non-coding RNA. RefSeq lists it as uncharacterized. The transcript is spliced from 2 exons. The record is from RefSeq and is a predicted model, not a curated record. NCBI's taxonomy places the organism in Eukaryota, Metazoa, Chordata, Actinopteri, Gadiformes, Gadidae.
CUCUUAGUGGCGCUGCAUUAUAAUCACAAUGCCAAUCGCGAGACAGCACGGAGAAGUGACGGGACAGAGAAGUACUGCGUGCGGUAUCCGCGCUUCAGAAAAGGUGCCCAUGUGGUGCGUCCCAUCAAAGAGGCAGCCUCAUACGGUUAUGCAACAUCAUUAAUGAAGGCCCUUCGGGAGAGCUACGCCAAUUCACCCGCGGUUCUUCGAGAGGUUGGCGCCAAUCUGUCCUCCGAUGCACCCGCCCCCAUCGCCAAAUCCUUCGAACAGAUUCCUAAGGAGGAGGCCAUCAGCCUCUACCUAGCCCGGCAGUCACGCUUCAAGAAAACCUAAUUUCACAUUAUUUUUUUCCACGGACUAGUCCAAUGAUUUAGUUGUUAUUUGCAUGAAAUUUCUUUGCAUGUAAUUCAAAAUAAUUUGGUAAUCAUUUUACCUGUGCCUUGUCAACCUCUGUGUGCGGUGUUGUCUGGGCUCACUGUGUGUCUGCUUGAUGUGCUUUUGCAUGUAUCACUGCAUGUAUCACUGCAUGAAAUAGUGUGUGUGUGUGUUUGUGAGAGAAAGAGAACCAUCAACUGACCCUCGGGUAUGACUACACUAUUGCAGAAUUAAUUAGAAUUAGAAUUAAACAUUGCGGGUCUAGCCCUU